CAGGGAUUGCCCCAGUAACGGCGAGUGGAAGCGGCAACAGCUCAAAUUUGAAUUCUGGCCCCCGGGUCCGAGUUGUAAUUUGCAGAGGAUGCUUCGGGCGAGGUGCCUUCCGAGUUCCCUGGAACGGGACGCCACAGAGGGUGAGAGCCCCGUCUGGUCGGACACCGAGCCCGUGUGAAGCCCCUUCGAAGAGUCGAGUAGUUUGGGAAUGCUGCUCAAAAUGGGAGGUAUAUGUCUUCUAAAGCUAAAUAUUGGCCAGAGACCGAUAGCGCACAAGUAGAGUGAUCGAAAGAUGAAAAGCACUUUGAAAAGAGGGUUAAAAAGUACGUGAAAUUGUUGAAAGGGAAGCGCCCAUGACCAGACUUGGGCCCGGUGAAUCACCCGGCGUUCUCGCCGGUGCACUUUGCCGGGCACAGGCCAGCAUCAGUUUGGCGCGGGGGACAAAGGCUUCGGGAACGUGGCUCCCUCGGGAGUGUUAUAGCCCGCUGCGUAAUACCCUGCGCCGGACUGAGGUACGCGCAUCGCAAGGAUGCUGGCGUAAUGGUCAUCAGCGACCCGUCUUGAAACACGGACCAAGGAGUCGUCUUCGUAUGCGAGUGUUCGGGUGUCAAACCCCUACGCGGAAUGAAAGUGAACGCAGGUGAGAGCUUCGGCGCAUCAUCGACCGAUCCUGAUGUUCUCGGAUGGAUUUGAGUAAGAGCAUACGGGGCCGGACCCGAAAGAAGGUGAACUAAUGCUGUAUAGGGUGAAGCCAGAGGAAACUCUGGUGGAAGCUCGCAGCGGCUCUGACGUGCGAUCGAUCGUCAUAUGGCAUGGGGGGCGAGACUAUCUUCUACU
RNAcentral lists this ribosomal RNA (837 nucleotides) under Cordyceps takaomontana. RNAcentral describes it as "LSU rRNA". It matches the Rfam family "Eukaryotic large subunit ribosomal RNA", at positions 69 to 948 of the family's 3401-position model. Lineage: Eukaryota; Fungi; Ascomycota; Sordariomycetes; Hypocreales; Cordycipitaceae. The record is from RNAcentral.